GGCAAGAUGGCCGAGUUGGUCCAAGGCGUCAGGUUAAGGUCCACCUUAAUACCCAGCUUUACAGCUUCCUGAUCAUCGUAAGAUGGCGUGGGUUCGAAUCCCUCUCUUGUCA
Aspergillus niger is the source of this 112-nucleotide non-coding RNA. Lineage: Eukaryota; Fungi; Ascomycota; Eurotiomycetes; Eurotiales; Aspergillaceae. The record is from Rfam.